Molecule: long non-coding RNA, 899 nt
Filed under: Mytilus galloprovincialis (Mediterranean mussel)
Lineage: Eukaryota; Metazoa; Mollusca; Bivalvia; Mytilida; Mytilidae
Source: RNAcentral
UCCAGAGUUAUACGGUUAACUGUUUGUGAGUUAAAAAAACAUACCGACAAAUUUAUUUUGUAAAGGUAGAUAACUCCUAUAAAAUUUCAUCGAAUCGCUUCGAUCCAAAUUAGCCAAAAAUUUCUGAGGAUGUAACGAACAAUUUGUAAAAAGAAAUUUUGUCGCUAUCUUUUUUUGUUACAAAGGAGAUGCACACAGAGGUUAAACAGUGAAAAGGGAGAUAACUCUUACAUAGAAAAUGGAUCGGCUUAGCAGGGUGAAAUUUAAAAGCGCAUAAACUAUACGAUACCAUAUGGGAAAUAUUUAAGCGACAUAUUGCGAAACAAACAUUUUGAUCAAGAACAAAAUUUGGCGGAAGAAAAAAAAAAUAAUAAUAAUAAUAAUAAUAAUUAAAAACCAAUUGUUCAGAGAACAAUUGAAAGUCUUUCCACACCAAAGUAAUUUGGAUAAGAAGGUAGUUUCUUUAUACUGAUGCGAAAAAUAAUGGUUUAAUUAUCUUUUUGAGUGAUAUAAGGGAAAUAAUAUGCUACUUCCGGUGAAAUGAAUGUCACAUCCGGUCUCAUAUGAUAGCUUCUUUCACACUGAUUCCAAAAAUAUAUAGUUUCUAUAUACUUUUGUAUGUAGAAUGGGAGAUAAUUGGCCACUUCCGGUUUGUUGGAAGUUAUUUUUAGUCUUCAGUAAUCUGUUCAUGUAUCUAUAUGACAAAUAAUAUGGAUUCUGAGUACUUUUAUGUGAAAAAAUUGCAAAAAAAACUACUUCCGGUUUCCUAAAGGUCACUUCCGGUAGCCAUUUUUAAGGUCAUUUGUCACUUAACCUUUUGUAUAAGGUCAAAUGUCUUUAUAAUGAACUUAAUUGAAGUUAUAAUCAAAUAACUUCAUAUCAAGACAUUUCAGGGGCAC